Molecule: ribosomal RNA, 253 nt
Filed under: uncultured bacterium
Lineage: Bacteria
Description: partial 16S ribosomal RNA
Rfam family: Bacterial small subunit ribosomal RNA
Source: RNAcentral
UACGGAGGGUGCGAGCGUUGUCCGGAAUCACUGGGCGUAAAGGGCGCGUAGGCGGCCUGAUAAGUAGGGGGUGAAAUCCUGCGGCUUAACUGCAGGGCUGCCUUCUAAACUGUCAGGCUUGAGCACAGUAGAGGCAGGUGGAAUUCCCGGUGUAGCGGUGGAAUGCGUAGAGAUCCGGAAGAACACCGGUGGCGAAGGCGGUCUGCUGGGCAGUAGCUGACACUGAGGCGCGACAGCGUGGGGAGCAAACAGG